RNAcentral lists this ribosomal RNA (383 nucleotides) under uncultured eukaryote. RNAcentral's name for it is "partial 18S ribosomal RNA". It matches the Rfam family "Eukaryotic small subunit ribosomal RNA", at positions 592 to 976 of the family's 1831-position model. The record is from RNAcentral.
CAAUAGCGUAUAUUAAAGUUGUUGCAGUUAAAAAGCUCGUAGUUGGAUUUCUGGUGGGAGCGAUCGGUCUGGCGCUAAGCGCGAGUACUUGCAUCGUCUCCGGCCAUCCUUGGGGAGAGUCUGUCUGGCAUUAGGUUGUCGGGCAGAGGAUCCUCAUCGUUUACUGUGAAAAAAUUAGAGUGUUCAAAGCAGGCUUAUGCCGUUGAAUAUAUUAGCAUGGAAUAAUAAGAUAGGACUUUGGUACUAUUUUGUUGGUUUGCGCACCAAAGUAAUGAUUAAUAGGGACAGUUGGGGGUAUUCGUAUUCCGUUGUCAGAGGUGAAAUUCUUGGAUUUACGGAAGACGAACUACUGCGAAAGCAUUUACCAAGGAUGUUUUCAUUAA